This 414-nucleotide ribosomal RNA is filed under the name uncultured Anaerolineaceae bacterium. RNAcentral describes it as "bacterial SSU rRNA". It matches the Rfam family "Bacterial small subunit ribosomal RNA", at positions 952 to 1382 of the family's 1533-position model. The record is from RNAcentral. Lineage: Bacteria; Bacillati; Chloroflexota; Anaerolineae; Anaerolineales; Anaerolineaceae.
CGAUGCUACACGAAGAACCUUACCAAGGUUGACAUGCUAAGUGGUAGUGAUCUGAAAGUGAACGACCUUCGGGAGCUUGCACAGGUGCUGCAUGGCUGCGUCAGCCCGUGUCGUGAGAUGUUCGGUUAAGUCCGCUAACGAGCGCAGCCCUCACUGUGUGUUAUACGUGUCACACGGGGACUGCCGGUUUUAAGCCGGAGGAAGGCGAGGAUGAAGUCAAGUCAGCAUGGCCUUUAUAUCUUGGGCUACACACACGCUACAAUGGUCUGUACAACAGGUUGCCAAGCCGCGAGGCGGAGCCAAUCCUAAAAGCAGGCCUCAGUUCAGAUUGUAGGCUGCAACCCGCCUGCAUGAAGAUGGAGUUGCUAGUAACCGCAGGUCAGCUAUACUGCGGUGAAUACGUUCCCGGGUCUU